CCUACGGGAGGCAGCAGUGAGGAAUAUUGGUCAAUGGACGGAAGUCUGAACCAGCCAUGCCGCGUGCAGGAAGAAGGCUCUAUGAGUUGUAAACUGCUUUUGUACAAGGGUAAAACUGAAUACGUGUAUUCAGCUGAACGUACUGUACGAAUAAGGAUCGGCUAACUCCGUGCCAGCAGCCGCGGUCAUACGGAGGAUCCAAGCGUUAUCCGGAUUUAUUGGGUUUAAAGGGUGCGUAGGCGGAUUGAUAAGUUAGAGGUGAAAUGUCCGAGCUUAACUCGGGAACUGCCUCUAAUACUGUUGAUCUUGAGAGUAGGUGCGGUAGGCGGAAUGUAUGGUGUAGCGGUGAAAUGCUUAGAGAU
Molecule: ribosomal RNA, 362 nt
Filed under: uncultured bacterium
Lineage: Bacteria
Description: partial 16S ribosomal RNA
Rfam family: Bacterial small subunit ribosomal RNA
Source: RNAcentral